CAUUAGGACCUAGAUCGACUGUGAGCAGGUAGAUAACUCCGUGCAAAUGCAGUUGCCAGAAACGCAAACAAUUUGGAUGAAUUGAGUUUGAAGAACAAGAAUAUGGCAAAAAGCUUGUAUAAAGGUGGAAGGAAAGAAAUGAGAGAGACCGGAGAGCGAAAAGACAAGAGUACAGAGAGCGUUUACGUGCCAGUCGCAAGGUAGUAACGGUCCAAUGUUAAAAUUUCAGCGGGACAAACAGUAAAACCAAAGACACUAGACACUUAGACCUGGAGAAUAGAGAUAUCAGAAAUUAACGUUACAAGGAGGCCUGUAAAAGCAGGUCAAUCGCUGGAAGCGACACAGUCAUCGAGAAACUGAACGCAUGCGAACAAUGUGCAGCAAGGGUACCUCCAGGGGAGUAAAUCUCUCAACAGCUAAAACAAGCUAUAAGGUAAUGGUAUUGGCUUAAAGAGUGUUGACACCAUAAACAACCUGCCAUCAGCUGGAAUGAAGACGUGUGAAACAUAUUGAGUGAAAUCACUAGCGUUAGACAUGCGGAAGCCAUAUCUACUUGGCUAUAUCCACCCAUAAUUAAAACACCGCCAAACCUGGGGAAGUAAUGCACAUGAGUUGGCCACACAUCGCGAAACUGCACAUAUCCUGACGCUAAUAAAGCAGGCUCCCGAGAUUUUUUCACCGAGGGUAUCCUCUUUCGUCGCCGAUGGCUUGCAUUUCGGGAUACACAUCCAGAUCCAAGCUGCUGCUGCAAAUGGCAUUGUAACUUGUAAUCCCUAUAGUGGUUAGCUACUUCGUGACAAAAGAGAUCCGGCCAAAAACACUUUGUAUUGUACUCUCUUUUCAUGGUCAUUCGUGAAAAAUACUGGCUUCCACUGCCCAGAGCAACGCCUUCUACAACCAAGCCGACAGAGGAGCACAUGCCUCAGGCCCUUGGAAAAUUUUACGGCAUCAAGCCUAAGAUAUAAUAGACCGUUAGCACGCUUCAAGCCAACUUGCUCGUCGGAGCCAACAAUGUAAACUGCGUGGGUUGACAUUGAUGGCUUCUCCUCGUCGCUUGUUGUUUCGGGAUAUAAUUGAACAUUUAUUGAACAGUCGAACAAUACAAUUUAUGUUAGCAACAGCAGUUUGCGGUUAUUUGUUAUCACGUCAGGUCGCGAUUUGUUUUUGUUUGUUCGACGACGGAUUGGAGUUGAAAAUGAACAAAAAGCUGAAUUGUUGGGUUACUGAACUGUAUAUAUUAAGACCCUCUAAAAAAUAAAAAAAAACCAUUUAAAUAUGUAUAACCACUAAAAUAAUUUUGGUACACAAUAAAGGUUCUGAAAAAACGAUAAUCACGAAAA
Drosophila simulans is the source of this 1340-nucleotide long non-coding RNA. RefSeq lists it as uncharacterized. The transcript is spliced from 3 exons. NCBI's taxonomy places the organism in Eukaryota, Metazoa, Arthropoda, Insecta, Diptera, Drosophilidae. The record is from RefSeq and is a predicted model, not a curated record.